Lates calcarifer (barramundi perch) is the source of this 169-nucleotide long non-coding RNA. RefSeq lists it as uncharacterized. The record is from RefSeq and is a predicted model, not a curated record. NCBI's taxonomy places the organism in Eukaryota, Metazoa, Chordata, Actinopteri, Centropomidae. The transcript has 3 exons.
CACGUACAGUAAAUCGGACAAUGGGACUGGCUCACGUGAAAGGAGUUCACCUGUUACACAGUGGCUGUUAGGAUGCAUAACAUAUACGUGGUCCAGAUGUCUCCCAGCUCAGCUUAAGAGGCCCAAUGCCUGGUCAGGCCAUGUGCUCAGUGGAUAGUCCCAGAAGGCC